RNAcentral lists this ribosomal RNA (453 nucleotides) under uncultured Prevotellaceae bacterium. RNAcentral's name for it is "partial 16S ribosomal RNA". It matches the Rfam family "Bacterial small subunit ribosomal RNA", at positions 341 to 792 of the family's 1533-position model. The record is from RNAcentral. Lineage: Bacteria; Pseudomonadati; Bacteroidota; Bacteroidia; Bacteroidales; Prevotellaceae.
ACGGAAGGCAGCAGUGAGGAAUAUUGGUCAAUGGGCGAGAGCCUGAACCAGCCAAGUCGCGUGAAGGAUGAAGGUUCUAUGGAUUGUAAACUUCUUUUAUUCGAGGGUAAAGUGAGUCACGUGUGGUUCAUUGCAAGUAUCGAAUGAAUAAGCAUCGGCUAACUCCGUGCCAGCAGCCGCGGUAAUACGGAGGAUGCGAGCGUUAUCCGGAUUUAUUGGGUUUAAAGGGAGCGUAGGCGGGCCUUUAAGUCAGUGGUCAAAGCGUGUGGCUCAACCAUACCACGCCGUUGAUACUGGAGGCCUUGAGUGCACAUAAGGAUGGUGGAAUUCAUGGUGUAGCGGUGAAAUGCUUAGAUAUCAUGAAGAACUCCGAUUGCGAAGGCAGCUGUCCGGGGUGUAACUGACGCUAAUGCUCGAAAGUGCGGGUAUCAAACAGGAUUAGAUACCCUGGUA